This 492-nucleotide ribosomal RNA is filed under the name uncultured bacterium. Its description in RNAcentral is "partial 16S ribosomal RNA". It matches the Rfam family "Bacterial small subunit ribosomal RNA", at positions 29 to 507 of the family's 1533-position model. The record is from RNAcentral.
AGUGAACGCUGGCGGUAGGCCUAACACAUGCAAGUCGAACGGCAGCACAGUAAGAGCUUGCUCUUACGGGUGGCGAGUGGCGGACGGGUGAGGAAUACAUCGGAAUCUACUUUUUCGUGGGGGUUCACGUAGGGAAACUUACGCUAAUACCGCAUACGACCUACGGGUGAAAGCAGGGGAUCUUCUGACCUUGCGCGAUUGAAUGAGCCGAUGUCGGAUUAGCUAGUUGGGGGGGUACAGGCCCACCAAGGGGACGAUCCGUAGCUGGUCUGAGAGGAUGAUCGGCGGCACUGGAGCUGGGACACGGUCAAGGCUCCUGCGGGAGGGAGCAGUGGGGAAUAUUGGACAAUGGGGGCAAGCCUGAUCCAGCCAUACCGCGUGGGUGGAGAAGGCCUUCGGGUUGUAAAGCCCUUUUGUUGGGAAAGAAAAGCAGCAGGUUAAUACCCCGCGGGUCUGACGGUACCCAAAGAAUAAGCACCGGCUAACUUCGUG